This 517-nucleotide unclassified non-coding RNA is filed under the name leaf metagenome. RNAcentral describes it as "partial contains internal transcribed spacer 1, 5.8S ribosomal RNA, and internal transcribed spacer 2". The stretch from base 185 to 338 matches the Rfam family "5.8S ribosomal RNA". The record is from RNAcentral.
GAUCAUUACAGCGAAGCGGCGCGAGCCGCCUUUCGAACCACCGCGUACCGAACCCCCCACGUUGCCUCGGCGGGCGCCGGGCGCCCCGCGCCCGCCCCGCCGAACGGCCCCCCAGCAAGACCCCUUCCGUCGAGAUGGCGUCGUCUGAACCCUCCGGGGAAAACGUUUCUGAAACGAAAAACACAACUUUCAACAAUGGAUCUCUUGGCUCCGGCAUCGAUGAAGAACGCAGCGAAACGCGAUAGCUAGUGUGAAUUGCAGAUUUCAGUGAAUCAUCGAGUCUUUGAACGCACAUUGCGCCUCUUGGUAUUCCUCGAGGCAUGCCUGUUCGAGCGUCGUUACGCCCCUCAAGCGCGAGCUUGGUGUUGGGGACCGCCCCUGAGACACGGCGGCGGCCCCGGAAUGCAUCGGCGGUGCUGGUCCCAGCCCGGAGCGCAGCAGACAUGCGGCUCCGCGGGCGGGGCCGGCGCCCGCCGGACAAACGACGAGACCCCUCCACAAGUCGACCUCGAAUCAG